RNAcentral lists this ribosomal RNA (786 nucleotides) under uncultured bacterium. RNAcentral describes it as "bacterial SSU rRNA". It matches the Rfam family "Bacterial small subunit ribosomal RNA", at positions 62 to 808 of the family's 1533-position model. The record is from RNAcentral.
UCGAGCGAGUCUGCCUUGAAGAUCGGAGUGCUUGCACUCUGUGAAACAAGAUACAGGCUAGCGGCGGACGGGUGAGUAACACGUGGGUAACCUGCCCAAGAGAUCGGGAUAACACCUGGAAACAGAUGCUAAUACCGGAUAAUAACAGAUGAUGCCUAUCAACUGUUUAAAAGAUGGUUCUGCUAUCACUCUUGGAUGGACCUGCGGUGCAUUAGCUAGUUGGUAGGGUAACGGCCUACCAAGGCGAUGAUGCAUAGCCGAGUUGAGAGACUGAUCGGCCACAUUGGGACUGAGACACGGCCCAAACUCCUACGGGAGGCAGCAGUAGGGAAUCUUCCACAAUGGACGCAAGUCUGAUGGAGCAACGCCGCGUGAGUGAAGAAGGGUUUCGGCUCGUAAAGCUCUGUUGUUGGUGAAGAAGGACAGGGGUAGUAACUGACCUUUGUUUGACGGUAAUCAAUUAGAAAGUCACGGCUAACUACGUGCCAGCAGCCGCGGUAAUACGUAGGUGGCAAGCGUUGUCCGGAUUUAUUGGGCGUAAAGCGAGUGCAGGCGGUUCGAUAAGUCUGAUGUGAAAGCCUUCGGCUCAACCGGAGAAUUGCAUCAGAAACUGUCGAGCUUGAGUACAGAAGAGGAGAGUGGAACUCCAUGUGUAGCGGUGAAAUGCGUAGAUAUAUGGAAGAACACCGGUGGCGAAGGCGGCUCUCUGGUCUGUUACUGACGCUGAGGCUCGAAAGCAUGGGUAGCGAACAGGAUUAGAUACCCUGGUAGUCCAUGCCGUAAACG